CGUGGGCAAUCUGCCCUUCACUCUGGGACAAGCCCUGGAAACGGGGUCUAAUACCGGAUACUGACCCUCGCAGGCAUCUGCGAGGUUCCAAAGCUCCGGCGGUGAAGGAUGAGCCCGCGGCCUAUCAGCUUGUUGGUGAGGUAAUGGCUCACCAAGGCGACCACGGGUAGCCGGCCUGAAAGGGCGACCGGCCACACUGGGACUGAAACACGGCCCAGACUCCUACGGGAGGCAGCAGUGGGGAAUAUUGCACAAUGGGCGAAAGCCUGAUGCAGCGACGCCGCGUGAGGGAUGACGGCCUUCGGGUUGUAAACCUCUUUCAGCAGGGAAGAAGCGAAAGUGACGGUACCUGCAGAAGAAGCGCCGGCUAACUACGUGCCAGCAGCCGCGGUAAUACGUAGGGCGCAAGCGUUGUCCGGAAUUAUUGGGCGUAAAGAGCUCGUAGGCGGCUUGUCACGUCGGUUGUGAAAGCCCGGGGCUUAACCCCGGGUCUGCAGUCGAUACGGGCA
This 509-nucleotide ribosomal RNA is filed under the name Streptomyces sp. SCAU5113. Its description in RNAcentral is "bacterial SSU rRNA". It matches the Rfam family "Bacterial small subunit ribosomal RNA", at positions 116 to 638 of the family's 1533-position model. The record is from RNAcentral. Lineage: Bacteria; Bacillati; Actinomycetota; Actinomycetes; Kitasatosporales; Streptomycetaceae.